This 448-nucleotide ribosomal RNA is filed under the name uncultured bacterium. RNAcentral's name for it is "partial 16S ribosomal RNA". It matches the Rfam family "Bacterial small subunit ribosomal RNA", at positions 29 to 523 of the family's 1533-position model. The record is from RNAcentral.
AGCGAACGCUGGCGGCAGGCCUAACACAUGCAAGUCGAACGAACUCUUCGGAGUUAGUGGCGGACGGGUGAGUAACACGUGGGAACGUGCCUUUAGGUUCGGAAUAACUCAGGGAAACUUGUGCUAAUACCGAAUGUGCCCUUCGGGGAAAGAUUUAUCGCCUUUAGAGCGGCCCGCGUCUGAUUAGCUAGUUGGUGAGGUAAAGGCUCACCAAGGCGACGAUCAGUAGCUGGUCUGAGAGGAUGAUCAGCCACAUUGGGACUGAGACACGGCCCAAACUCCUACGGGAGGCAGCAGUGGUGAACCUUGCGCAAUGGGCGAAAGCUUGACGCAGCCAUGCCGCGUGAAUGAUGAGGGUCUUAGGAUUGUAAAAUUCUUUCACCGGGGACGAUAAUGACGGUACCCGGAGAAGAAGCCCCGGCUAACUUCGUGCCAGCCGCCGCCGUAA